RNAcentral lists this long non-coding RNA (3859 nucleotides) under Sus scrofa (pig). Its description in RNAcentral is "lncRNA (ENSSSCG00030004079.1)". Lineage: Eukaryota; Metazoa; Chordata; Mammalia; Artiodactyla; Suidae. The record is from RNAcentral.
CGGCCUGACGCGCGGGAGCGGGAGCCGCUGGCCUCUGCUUUAGAGCGCUUUUGCUUUCCGAUGAGGAAAGGUAAGUCUUGCUUUCCUGGUUUUAUGUAUUUGCCACCUAAACAGUAUUCAUUGCUGUCUACUCCCUUUCUGUUUUUUAAGUUUUUAUUAUGGAAAAAUUGUAAAUACAUAUCAAGUAGAUAAUUCAUAAAUGAGUCUCCUUGGACCCGUUACCCAGCUUCGUAAUUGGCACGGCCAAUCCAGUGGCUUGUUUACCUGCCUCCACUCCUCCUCUGCCCCUUGUGCUAGAUUCCAGCAAAGCAAAUCCCAGGAGACUUCUACACCCUCCUUUUAGCUGCUCUUUUCUGGUUUCGGGGAUGUAUUUCCUCACUGAUUAUCUCUUUCCUUUCCAGCCACCCCUCCUUAGUCUCCGAUCUUGUGGGGAGCUCUGGAGCUAGGAUGGGGCUUUGGAGUUGUCCCCUGUUGAGGGCAGGGAAUGGGUCUUUAAAUCCCCCUCUACUCAUAGACCCGUCACUGGGUCAAGGUUGCUCCCAGGGGGGCCAUGAACUUGGGUGAAAUUGACUUCAGCUGAGGUCGGGUAGCUCUGUACAGCACGGUAUCCAUGUCUGUCUACUCCUUAUGUGUCAUUCCUGCUACCUUCCUAGGACAGCGCCGGGCACGGCUUUCCCAAGGCUUUGCUUGGUCUCUUUUCUGUGGAUGUAACAAGAGGAGGGUUAAUGGACGUGCCUUGGUCCACCCGCACUGCUGUAGCAGAAUACCACAGGCUGGGUGGCUCAGGAACCACAGAAAUCCAUUUCUCACAAUCUGUGGACACUCAAGAUCUGGGUGCCCACAGAUCCCACUUCCUGGGUGCCAGAUGGCUGGCUUUCGCUGUGUCCCCAAGUGGCAGAAGGGGCCAGAGGGCUCUCUGGGGUCUCUUCAUGAGGGCACUAAUUCCAUUCAUGAGAGCUCCACCUUCAUGACCUAAUCCCUCCCUAAGUUCUCACCUCCUCAUACCACUGCAUUGAGGGUUAAGUUUCAACACAUGAAUCUGGGGGACACAGACCUUCAGUCCACAUCAGGGUGAAAUACAGACGCUGCCACUGACCUUGAAUGCUGUGCCCGCCCCUCUGCCAGUCCUGGGGUGCCUUCUCCCUCGCUUGGCACUCCUGCGGUGCAGGUCGUUCCCCCCGCAGCAAAGUGACCUUCAUUCCCACGAGGGGUGAACCCCUGGCCACAGGCCCUUCUUCAGUCAGGACACUGCACUUGUCCACUUCCCUGCAACAUGGGCCAUGAGACAGCACAGGGAUGACCUGGUACCAAAUAUAUUCUCCUUCGGCCCCACUGUGUCCAACAGGGGCUCCUCUGGAUGGUCAGGGCCAAGGACUCUGCAGGAGGACGGCUCCUUUCCUGCCUGAUGGACUCGAGGCACGAGGUGACUGCAGGGCCGAGGCACUUCCGUUCUGGAGUGUCCCACGUUUCCAGUUCGUGGUGUCCUGAACACAUGACUGUAGGCCCCUCUGGCAAAGGCCUGUGGGAAUCCCUCCUGUGUUCACUUGCACAGGGGCCCCGAGGACCUACCUUCUCUUUAAUGAGCAGGUUCUAUGGCAGAACACUGGCUCAAGGAUUGAGACUGGGCUCACCACUUCUUCCACCAUCUACGGCGCAGGCCUGGCAUUCCAGCUCUACUCUGUGUGGGCCAUAAUUUUCUCCAAAGUCCCAAGAGUCACCGUAGCAGCAUGAGGACACCUCCUCCCAGAGCCCUUGCCAGGCGGUGAAUCACAUGUGUCAGGGAGCGGCUCCCAUAUAAAUAAAUUCACACUUAUCCCUCUUUAUCCUUUGCGCCUUAGGAUCCCGUCCUGCAAACCAUUUCCAGCUUGGCCAGUGCAUGAUCCUGCAGCCCCCAUGGGGCAUCUAUUCCCUUUCUCCUGUCAGCAGGCCCAGCUCUUCCUGCCAUGUGCUGUUUGCACUGGACUCUAGUUACUGGUCUGGUGGGAGUGGGAGUUGGGGCAGGUCCUUCCGGGGCCUGUGUUGUUUGGCGAUGCCUCACGUUCAAACAAAGGAUGAGAACAUCCUCACAAAAGGACAGGGCCACCUCUACGGGCCUUCAGGGUGCCCAGCGGGCUUUCAAGGUUUCGAGAGCAUUAACUCAGAUGUCCUAUCCAAUGGUCAGGUCUCACGUGCCCACUGAAGCCCCUGAUGUGGUCACAGAGGACUUGCCGGGGCCGAAGACACAGACUUGUGUGGAGAGCUGCUUUCUCACAGUCGGUCCAGGCGUCCGCCUCUGCUUUUCUCUCCUCCACCUGCACCUGUAGGAGAUGAGUGUUUAGAUGCCACCAGCCUGGCUUUCUACCUUUCACACUUUCUUUCACUCAGGGAUUCCUAGCCCGAGCCUAAGGCAUCAAGGACUCAGGAGGAGUCAUCAGAUCCCAUUCUCAUGAGUGGAACCUUCCCCAAAUCUCUCAGUAGCCUGGGUGUCCCCUGGACCAGAGCUUUCUUUCCCACUUGGAUCCCAUCCCAGUUCAUCACCAGCAUCACUCAUGACGUGGCUCCUCCAACCAGCCAGGGACUGGUAGGGCCUCACCUGCCACCAGGAACGGGGCUGGGUUUCUAGCUGGCAGGCUGAUGCUGGGCCCCACAAUCCCACAACUGCCCGAGGGAGUGGCCACAGUUCCGUUUAGAGCCCGUUUCCUCAGAUCACUCCUGGCACCUGACCUCUGAGAGCUGGUGCGCUGGGAAGCAGAUGUGGAGAAGACGGUUUGUGUGAAAUGAGUGUCCUGAGAAGUGACCCUGGUGUCUUCGCCUGUAAAGGAAGAGCAGACAUAACCCGAGCAGAAGCUGAUUGCGGUGGUGGCUGCAGCAAGGCCUCAGUCCAUCCCACUGGGGUCUGAGUGGGAGGGCCUUGCAGACUCGUCCUGCCACGAGGGAGGCCCUGGCCCUCUCUCCUCCCUUCAUGGACCAGUCAUGGGGUGCUGUGAACUUGGGCAGGCGGCUCCCUUCACCCAGGCCAGUUCCCGGCCAGGGGCUCAGCAGAGAGCCUGGAGCCACCAACGUUCCCAGCAGCUGAGGGAUGCUGAGGGGGACCUGGGCACCACUGCGGCCACCGCUGUCCCCUUUAAAUGCCUCUUGACCUAUCUGCCCCUUCUUGAGCAUUGCCUCUCCCCAGGCUCCAUUCUCAGGCCUUUUCUUCGUUGACUCCCAUUUCUUUGGGGGGAGCAGGGAGCAUGACCCGUGCUCCCCGGCCUUAACCAGCCCUGAGCCUGGGCCCCAGGGUUUCCUGUCUCUCCAGCAUCGCCAGUUUAUGCUUCUCUUUGCCCCGCCCCUUGGGACGGCCCACCUCUUGCAUCCUUUGAUCCACCCCCCCCCCCCCCCCCACUGCUCCUACACGCGGCCCUCACUGCCUCCCUCCCGGGCUUGCUGUCCACUCAGGCCCCCGGCUCCGGGCAUGGGCGUCACAGCCCUUCGGGAGUGGAAGGGGUCACUUUACAUGCAUGUUUCCUCCCUCCUGUCUCUGUUUCCAGUGUUGCUCUCUCCUGCGUCCCCCAAAGCCAGCCCCUCCGCCUCGCCACUGCUGCUGGGGACACUUCCUCAAUCACAGAUUGUUAUUCACAUAGGAACAGUUGCUGGACGCUUGCCACGGCCUGCCCACGUCACAUUCUGGGCCAGUCAUGGUGAGCGACGCAGAAAAAGUCUCUGCUUGGAGUUCCCGUUGUGGCUCAGAGGGUUAUGAACUUGACCAGUACCCACAAAGAUCCUGGCCUCACUCAGUGGGUUAGGGAUCCCAGCUUGCCGUUGCUGUGGUGCAGGCCGGCAGCUGCAGCUCCAAUUCAACCUCCAACCUGGGAACUUCCAUAUGCUGCGGGUGCAGACC